GACGAACGCUGGCGGCGUGCCUAACACAUGCCAGUCGAACGGAAAGGCCCUGCUUGCAGGGUACUCGAGUGGCGAACGGGUGAGUAACACGUGGGUGAUCUGCCCUGCACUUCGGGAUAAGCCUGGGAAACUGGGUCUAAUACCGGAUAGGAGCCAUUUUUAGUGUGAUGGUUGGAAAGUUUUUUCGGUGUAGGAUGAGCUCGCGGCCUAUCAGCUUGUUGGUGGGGUAAUGGCCUACCAAGGCGGCGACGGGUAGCCGGCCUGAGAGGGUGGACGGCCACAUUGGGACUGAGAUACGGCCCAGACUCCUACGGGAGGCAGCAGUGGGGAAUAUUGCACAAUGGGCGCAAGCCUGAUGCAGCGACGCCGCGUGGGGGAUGACGGCCUUCGGGUUGUAAACUCCUUUCGCUAGGGACGAAGCUUUUUGUGACGGUACCUAGAUAAGAAGCACCGGCUAACUACGUG
This 465-nucleotide ribosomal RNA is filed under the name uncultured bacterium. Its description in RNAcentral is "partial 16S ribosomal RNA". It matches the Rfam family "Bacterial small subunit ribosomal RNA", at positions 28 to 507 of the family's 1533-position model. The record is from RNAcentral.